Molecule: non-coding RNA, 584 nt
Organism: Acomys russatus (golden spiny mouse)
Lineage: Eukaryota; Metazoa; Chordata; Mammalia; Rodentia; Muridae
Source: the annotation of a RefSeq genome assembly
AUGACUACAAUUGAUGUGUAUUUUGAUCCAGCCAAGCUGACAGAAAACAGGUCCAGGCACUGGCCCCACAGGUUUUUUGUUGAGUUUCAGUCACUGUGGUAUGUUUUCGGCAGUGGAACCAAACUCAGCGUCCUAGGACAGCCUAAGUCCACUCCCAAAAUCACAGUGUUUCCACCUUCUCCUGAGGAACUUCAGACAAACAAAGCCACACUGGUGUGUCUAAUCAACGACUUCUACCCGAGUGCUGUGACAGUGGCCUGGAAGACAAAUGGUGCACCUACUACUGAUGGUGUGGCCACUGUAAAACCCAGCAAAGAGGGCAAGAAGUAUGUGGCCAGCAGCUUCCUGAGUUUGACACCAGAGCAAUGGAAAUCGAACGAUCUCUUUACCUGUCAAGUAACACAUGAAGGGGACAUUGUGGAGAAGAGUGUGUCCUCUGCAGAAUGUCUCUAGGAGCUUAGCCUUCUCUUUAUCCUGGGAAGCCUGGAUCUAGAGGACCCAGAUUGGGGUCUCAUCUCUAUAUAGCCAUCUCAACCCUUCUCUUACCCACUGAAUGUUCAAUAAAAUAUCAUUAGUUAAUCAGA